UCUGGUGGCAAUGGCGGAGGGGUCACACCCGUUCCCAUCCCGAACACGGAAGUUAAGCCCUCCAGCGCCGAUGGUACUUGGGCAUCAGCCCUGGGAGAGUAGGUCGCUGCCAGAA
RNAcentral lists this ribosomal RNA (115 nucleotides) under Bacillota bacterium. Lineage: Bacteria; Bacillati; Bacillota. The record is from RNAcentral.